AACUCGGUUGCAACUAUUUCUCAUUUGGAAAAAGUGUCGAGCCACUCAGCCUCCUUCAAUUCAACCAUCGAACCUAUUCUUCUUUCUCUUUCACUACAACCCUCACUGAAUCAGUGCUCUGGCCAUGGUUCUCUCUCGUCGAGCCCUCCUUCCCUUUUAGUGGAGCCUUGGUUCUCUCUCGUUGAGCUUUCAUAGGUCGCGCAUUGGAACCCUAAUUUUCCCUCAUUCGAACCAUCAUUGUGCGUCAUUGGUACCAUAGUUAAUUGUUGGUGUGCGAAGUGAUUCGCAAAAAAUGGGAGCCUUGCCAUUUUCUUGGUGAAGCUUUUCGAUAGAAGACCUGAGAAGCGUUACAAAUGGGAGCCUCUGAAGGAGGACGUUGAGCUGGGAAACUCUACCUAUCCCAUGGUUCUGGUUCAAGUCCCAAUGUACAACGAAAGAGAGGUUUAUCAGCUCUCAAUCGGUGCCGCUUGUGGGCUUUCUUCAUGGUAUUUAUUCUUAACCUCUACAGGUUAUCCUGUUGAGUUUUUUAUGAGGGAUGUUAAAACAAGGGAUGUGGCUUGUUAUCUAGCACUCAAGGUAUCCAAAUCCAAGAUGCAUCGUGAUUUUUGGGGUUUUUAAGAAGACUAUGGCUAUCGCUAUGAGGGUGAUCAUACUCGAGCCUUACUUCCUUGUGAGGUUGGAUCCCAAUGCACAAAGGUAGGAUCUGAUAAAUAGUAAUGACAGGAUUCCUUUUGCAAUAGCUUGUCUGAGGAGGAACUUACACAAGUACAAGAUUACAACUUUGACCACCCUGAGUGAAGGAUAAAACAUGUAGGCUGUGUGGAGCCCUGAUGCCAAAUUAAUUGUUAUUCUUACAUCUACCUUCUUUCUUCAUAGUUUCAAAGUCCAGUUCUCAGAUAAAAGAAUACACACUGGUGGUAGACAACCCUCUGCUUUUUGCCUAGCUAUAAUUUCUCUUCUGCUUACAAAGCAAGUUCCUUUUGCAGUAAAGGAUUUGUAUGUAUCCCAUCAAGCUUGAAGGUCUUCCACCCAAUAAUUUUUUGUGCAGCAUUUGCAGAGCUAGCAGGAAUUGUUUCGGAGUUUCUUUGAGUAGAGCUUGAAUCUAUUUUAGGUGUAAAUUAUAGUUUAGUUAAUAUUCAACUCUAUAUUGUACGAGGGCCAGUUUGUUUUGAACUCUAUUUAUAGAGUCUUUCAAUAAAAAUUUUAUGUUUUAAUUA
Molecule: long non-coding RNA, 1217 nt
Organism: Vigna angularis (adzuki bean)
Lineage: Eukaryota; Viridiplantae; Streptophyta; Magnoliopsida; Fabales; Fabaceae
Exons: 7
Source: RefSeq, a predicted model, not a curated record